This 1153-nucleotide unclassified non-coding RNA is filed under the name Hevea brasiliensis (rubber tree). Lineage: Eukaryota; Viridiplantae; Streptophyta; Magnoliopsida; Malpighiales; Euphorbiaceae. The record is from RNAcentral.
GGAAAAACCUUAUUACUAUAAUAAAUUAAUAUAAGAAGUACAAAACACCAAUGUAAACCUAUAAUAUUAUAACCAAAACAUGUACCAGCUGUCUCUGUUGUUUCUAUACCUAAUUAAAAAAAAUGUCAUCUUAAAAUAACAUAAAAAAUUAUCAUACAGAAAAAGUAGUAAAUAUGGACUUCAUUCACUAUUGUCUAGUUUUUUGUAGUGUAGAUCCAAUCAUCUUGAGCUCGAAUCUCUUCACAGUUCCAGCAAUGUCUCUCAUGGUUGAGUCCACUUCAUAGGGGAUUUGGUCAACGGUGAUCGUCGUGGCGUUGACUAGCUGUCGACAUGGCUCCCUGUGUUCGGCUAUCGUCCCGUGAUAGUGGAAAUACUUGAUCCUUCCUUCCGUCUUGUGAGUCGUCUUGCCCACCGUGUUCUGUGACAUGUGCACCCCCGUUGCUAUCACAUUGCGCGGUUGCACCGCGUAUUUCCUGUCCCUUCUUAUUCCUCUCUUCACGUCCUUGUAGACUAGUUUCUCAAAUCCCCAUUUCCUGUAGGAUUUUCCGCGGUCUUCUUCUAAACAGAGCUUGUUGGACAUUGGCAUUUGUUCAAUGGUGAACUGUGUAUAAUCGGAUAACGAAUCAACCACAGACUUAAUAGUACUCUUCUUAGGUACAAAUAUGAACUCAUCCACAUCGAAGAAAAACAUCCAUUUGGCUUGAAAUCUGUAUUUAUGCAAACAAUCAUUCACAAUGAGAAAUUGAUUGUGAUAAUAGCCAUCAAACCUUUCCUGAUCUCUGAUAUCCUCUAGUGUAACAUAUCCUUUCUCAAUCCAUGGUUUCAACACCGCCAUUACUCCUUCGUGUACACCUCCAGCAUCAUGAAUUACAAAAUGAGACUUCACUCCGAACAGUCUAACGUGAAACGCAAGCCAUUCCCGUACUCUCUGUGGACUCAAAUUACCAUACAAGGAUGAACCGCAGUAGAGGAAAUCGUACUUUGGUGGUUUAUUGAAUGUUGAAAUGAAGUUUGUGAAAUCUCUCUCUGAUUCUGUUAAAGCCAAAAAAGUGUCGGUGCUAUUGAAUUCACUAUCACCACCGCCAUUAGUAGUAGCGUGAAUCAGUAACUUUCCGCCAUCACGAACUGGGAUUGGGAAAGUGCAAUUUACAAC